AAUGAAUAAAAUUUUUAAUGGCCGCAGUAAUUUGACUGUGCAAAGGUAGCAUAAUCAUUAGUCUUUUAAUUGAAGGCUUGUAUGAAUGGUUGGACGAAGUAUAAUUUGUUUCAUAAAAAUUUAUAAUAGAAUUUUAUAUUUUAGUGAAAAAGCUAAAAUUUUUUUAAAAGACGAGAAGACCCUAUAAAUCUUUAUAAUUUUUAUUAUUUUAGUUUUUUUGAUUAAUUUUGUUAUUAUAAUUAAAAUUAUUUUAUUGGGGUGAUAUUAAAAUUUAAAUAACUUUUAAUUUUUUUUUUUCAUUAAUUUAUGUUUUAUUGAUCCAUUAAUAAUGAUUAUUAGAAUAAGUUACUUUAGGGAUAACAGCGUAAUUUUUUUGGAGAGUUCUUAUUGAUAAAAAAGUUUGCGACCUCGAUGUUGGAUUAAGAAAUAAUUUUAGGUGUAGAUGCUUAAA
RNAcentral lists this ribosomal RNA (451 nucleotides) under Tephritomyia grisea. RNAcentral describes it as "partial large subunit ribosomal RNA". The record is from RNAcentral. Lineage: Eukaryota; Metazoa; Arthropoda; Insecta; Diptera; Tephritidae.